CAGGUGGACAUGCACAGGUUUUGAAAUUCAAAUUGAUCAGUUCUGUUACAUUCUCAUUUGUUUCCCCAUAACAGGGUUUAUGGACUUCUUUAAGACAGGGUUUUAUUUAGCAGUAUAAUGAAAAGAAUUAAGGGAACACAUGACUCUAAUUGAUUCCCUGUUUGUGUAUAGAAUCUUUAAUUCAUGAAAAUGUAAAAAUAUUCAUUAACAUUUUAAAACAAACUCCUGUUAGAUACAAACUGUGAGUGUGACUGCACUCUCUAGAUUCCAGGGCGAAGCCUGUAAAUUAUUACAGAGUAGGGCAUCUGAGAUCUUAGAACAGCAAACCUAUUGCUUCCGGGUUGAUGACAUCAUUUACGAAUGAUGAGAAGAUGAAGUCCAAAGUACACAUAUUGGCUUGCUUGAAUAUCUACUAAUAGUCUUAUUUGGAAAGUUGUACACCUGUAUAACAUUGCAUCUCCAUUUUAAAUGUAUAUAAUUUU
Molecule: long non-coding RNA, 482 nt
Filed under: Mus caroli (Ryukyu mouse)
Lineage: Eukaryota; Metazoa; Chordata; Mammalia; Rodentia; Muridae
Description: predicted gene, 26968 (MGP_CAROLIEiJ_G0034554.1)
Source: RNAcentral